AUACGGAGGAUCCGAGCGUUAUCCGGAUUUAUUGGGUUUAAAGGGUGCGCAGGCGGGAGAUUAAGUCGGCGGUGAAAUUUUGCAGCUCAACUGUAAAAGUGCCUUCGAUACUGGUUUCCUUGAGUGUGGAUGAAGUUGGCGGAAUUUGUGGUGUAGCGGUGAAAUGCUUAGAUAUCACGAGGAACUCCGAUUGCGCAGGCAGCUUACUAAACCACUACUGACGCUCAGGCACGAAGGCGUGGGGAUCAAACAGGAUUAGAUACCCUGGUAGUCCACGCAGUAAACGAUGAUUACUGGCUGUUUGCGAUACAAUGUAAGCGGCUGAGCGAAAGCGUUAAGUAAUCCACCUGGGGAGUACGUUCGCAAGAAUGAAACUCAAAUGAAUUGACGGGG
This 393-nucleotide ribosomal RNA is filed under the name uncultured bacterium. RNAcentral's name for it is "partial 16S ribosomal RNA". It matches the Rfam family "Bacterial small subunit ribosomal RNA", at positions 523 to 918 of the family's 1533-position model. The record is from RNAcentral.